Molecule: ribosomal RNA, 502 nt
Filed under: uncultured bacterium
Lineage: Bacteria
Description: bacterial SSU rRNA
Rfam family: Bacterial small subunit ribosomal RNA
Source: RNAcentral
AGAGUUUGAUCCUGGCUCAGAUUGAACGCUGGCGGCAUGCUUUACACAUGCAAGUCGAACGGCAGCGGGCCUUCGGGUGCCGGCGAGUGGCGAACGGGUGAGUAAUGCAUCGGAACGUGCCAUUGGGUGGGGGAUAACGUAGCGAAAGUUACGCUAAUACCGCAUAUUCUGUGAGCAGGAAAGCAGGGGACCGCAAGGCCUUGCGCUCUUUGAGCGGCCGAUGUCAGAUUAGCUAGUUGGUGAGGUAAAGGCUUACCAAGGCGACGAUCUGUAGCGGGUCUGAGAGGAUGAUCCGCCACACUGGAACUGAGACACGGUCCAGACUCCUACGGGAGGCAGCAGUGGGGAAUUUUGGACAAUGGGCGCAAGCCUGAUCCAGCCAUGCCGCGUGAGUGAAGAAGGCCUUCGGGUUGUAAAGCUCUUUCGGCCGGGAAGAAAUCGCAUGGGUUAAUACCCUGUGUGGAUGACGGUACCGGAAUAAGAAGCACCGGCUAACUACGUG